RNAcentral lists this ribosomal RNA (460 nucleotides) under uncultured bacterium. RNAcentral's name for it is "partial 16S ribosomal RNA". It matches the Rfam family "Bacterial small subunit ribosomal RNA", at positions 338 to 795 of the family's 1533-position model. The record is from RNAcentral.
CCUACGGGAGGCAGCAGUGAGGAAUAUUGGUCAAUGGGCGCGAGCCUGAACCAGCCAAGUAGCGUGAAGGAUGACUGCCCUACGGGUUGUAAACUUCUUUUAUAAAGGAAUAAAGUGAGACACGUGUGCCUUUUUGUAUGUACUUUAUGAAUAAGGAUCGGCUAACUCCGUACCAGCAGCCGCGGUAAUACGGAGGAUCCGAGCGUUAUCCGGAUUUAUUGGGUUUAAAGGGAGCGUAGAUGGGUUGUUAAGUCAGUGGUGAAAGUCUGCGGCUCAACCGUAAAAUUGCAAUUGAUACUGGUAGUCUUGAGUGCAGUAGAGGUAGGCGGAAUUCGUGGUGUAGCGGUGAAAUGCGUAGAUAUCACGAAGAACACCGAUUGCGAAGGCAGCUUACUAAACUGCCACUGACAUUGAUGCUCGAAAGUGUGGGGAUCAAACAGGAUUAGAUACCCUAGUAGUC